RNAcentral lists this transfer RNA (75 nucleotides) under Planctomycetota bacterium. Its description in RNAcentral is "Planctomycetes bacterium (activated sludge metagenome) tRNA-Asn". It matches the Rfam family "tRNA". From Rfam's summary of the family: Transfer RNA (tRNA) molecules are approximately 80 nucleotides in length. Lineage: Bacteria; Pseudomonadati; Planctomycetota. The record is from RNAcentral.
UCCUCGGUAGCUCAAUGGUAGAGCAUUCGACUGUUAAUCGACAGGUUGCUGGUUCGAGUCCAGCCCGAGGAGCCA